GACGAACGCUGGCGGCGUGCUUAACACAUGCAAGUCGAACGGAAAGGCCUGCUUUCCCUUGUGGAUUGCGGGUACUCGAGUGGCGAACGGGUGAGUAACACGUGAGUGAUCUGCCCCCAACUUGGGUAUAAGCCUGGGAAACUGGGUCUAAUUCCCGAUAGGACUGCAGGGUUGUGCCUGUGGUGGAAAACGAUUUUCUAGUGGUUGGGGAUGAGCUCGCGGCCUAUCAGCUUGUUGGUGGGGUAAUGGCCUACCAAGGCGGCGACGGGUCGCCGGCCUGGGAGGGUGGACGGGCAAAUUGGGACUGAGAUACGGCCCAGACUCCUACGGGAGGCAGCAGUGGGGAAUAUUGCACAAUGGGCGGAAGCCUGAUGCAGCGACGCCGCGUGGGGGAUGACGGCCUUCGGGUUGUAAACUCCUUUCGACCGCGAGGAAGCCACCUGGUUGGAAGGGUGGUGACGGUAGUGGUAGAAGAAGCACCGGCUAACUACGUG
RNAcentral lists this ribosomal RNA (494 nucleotides) under uncultured bacterium. RNAcentral describes it as "partial 16S ribosomal RNA". It matches the Rfam family "Bacterial small subunit ribosomal RNA", at positions 28 to 507 of the family's 1533-position model. The record is from RNAcentral.